RNAcentral lists this unclassified non-coding RNA (225 nucleotides) under fungal sp. Its description in RNAcentral is "partial internal transcribed spacer region". The stretch from base 1 to 46 matches the Rfam family "Eukaryotic small subunit ribosomal RNA", at positions 1786 to 1831 of the family's 1831-position model. Lineage: Eukaryota; Fungi. The record is from RNAcentral.
AAGUCGUAACAAGGUUUCCGUAGGUGAACCUGCGGAAGGAUCAUUAUAAAAUUUUUCUUGCAUAUUUUUUUAAAAUGUGUAAAAAAAAAAUCUUGUAUUCAAAACCCACACUCUUUAAAACCAUAAUAAAAAAAUUUUUAUAUGUUUAUAUACAUGAAAUUUUUUUAUUUAAAAAUAACAUAUAUAAUAAAAAGACAACUUUCAACAACGGAUCUCUUGGCUCUC